CAGCCGCGGUAAUACCAGCACCGCUAGCGUAUACUAAAGUUGUUGCUGUUAAAACGCUCCUAGUUGGAUAUCAGCCGAGGAGGGCAUGGCCCGGCCGCGUUGCGGCCGCGCGCCAAAGCGGUUUUCAAAACCGUCGCCCCUUCGGCUUUUUCAGGAGUGCCGGUCUGCCCAUUUACUUGGGUCGGCCGGCGUGCUCUGAUCUUUUACUUUGAGAAAAUUAGAGUGCUCAAAGCAGGCUUCGCCUAUAUGCAUAUCAUGGAAUAAUAAGAC
Molecule: ribosomal RNA, 270 nt
Filed under: uncultured eukaryote
Lineage: Eukaryota
Description: partial 18S ribosomal RNA
Rfam family: Eukaryotic small subunit ribosomal RNA
Source: RNAcentral